CAUGCAGUCGAGCGGUAACAUUUCUAGCUUGCUAGAAGAUGACGAGCGGCGGACGGGUGAGUAAUGCUUGGGAAUAUGCCUUAGGGUGGGGGACAACAGUUGGAAACGACUGCUAAUACCGCAUAACGUCUACGGACCAAAGGGGGCUUCGGCUCUCGCCCUUAGAUUAGCCCAAGUGGGAUUAGCUAGUUGGUGAGGUAAUGGCUCACCAAGGCGACGAUCCCUAGCUGGUUUGAGAGGAUGAUCAGCCACACUGGAACUGAGACACGGUCCAGACUCCUACGGGAGGCAGCAGUGGGGAAUAUUGCACAAUGGGCGCAAGCCUGAUGCAGCCAUGCCGCGUGUGUGAAGAAGGCCUUAGGGUUGUAAAGCACUUUCAGUAAGGAGGAAAGGUUAGUAGUUAAUACCUGCUAGCUGUGACGUUGCUUACAGAAGAAGCACCGGCUAACUCCGUGCCAGCAGCCGCGGUAAUACGGAGGGUGCGAGCGUUAAUCGGAAUUACUGGGCGUAAAGCGUACGCAGGCGGUUUGUUAAGCGAGAUGUGAAAGCCCCGGGCUCAACCUGGGAACUGCAUUUCGAACUGGCAAACUAGAGUAUGAUAGAGGGUGGUAGAAUUUCAGGUGUAGCGGUGAAAUGCGUAGAGAUCUGAAGGAAUACCGAUGGCGAAGGCAGCCACCUGGGUCAAUACUGACGCUCAUGUACGAAAGCGUGGGGAGCAAACGGGAUUAGAUACCCCGGUAGUCCACGCCGUAAACGAUGUCUACUAGAGCUGGGGUCUUCGGACAACUUUUCCAAAGCUAACGCAUUAAGUAGACCGCCUGGGGAGUACGGCCGCAAGGUUAAAACUCAAAUGAAUUGACGGGGGCCCGCACAAGCGGUGGAGCAUGUGGUUUAAUUC
Molecule: ribosomal RNA, 898 nt
Filed under: uncultured Pseudoalteromonas sp.
Lineage: Bacteria; Pseudomonadati; Pseudomonadota; Gammaproteobacteria; Alteromonadales; Pseudoalteromonadaceae
Description: bacterial SSU rRNA
Rfam family: Bacterial small subunit ribosomal RNA
Source: RNAcentral